Molecule: ribosomal RNA, 1343 nt
Filed under: uncultured bacterium
Lineage: Bacteria
Description: 16S ribosomal RNA
Rfam family: Bacterial small subunit ribosomal RNA
Source: RNAcentral
GACGAACGCUGUCGGCGUGCUUAACACAUGCAAGUCGAACGGAAAGGCCCUGCUUUUGUGGGGUGCUCGAGUGGCGAACGGGUGAGUAACACGUGAGUAACCUGCCCUUGACUUUGGGAUAACUUCAGGAAACUGGGGCUAAUACCGGAUAGGAGCUCCUGCUGCAUGGUGGGGGUUAGAAAGUUUCGGCGGUUGGGGAUGGACUCGCGGCUUAUCAGCUUGUUGGUGGGGUAGUGGCUUACCAAGGCUUUGACGGGUAGCCGGCCUGAGAGGGUGACCGGCCACAUUGGGACUGAGAUACGGCCCAGACUCCUACGGGAGGCAGCAGUGGGGAAUAUUGCACAAUGGGCGGAAGCCUGAUGCAGCAACGCCGCGUGCGGGAUGACGGCCUUCGGGUUGUAAACCGCUUUCGCCUGUGACGAAGCGUGAGUGACGGUAAUGGGUAAAGAAGCACCGGCUAACUACGUGCCAGCAGCCGCGGUGAUACGUAGGGUGCGAGCGUUGUCCGGAUUUAUUGGGCGUAAAGGGCUCGUAGGUGGUUGAUCGCGUCGGAAGUGUAAUCUUGGGGCUUAACCCUGAGCGUGCUUUCGAUACGGGUUGACUUGAGGAAGGUAGGGGAGAAUGGAAUUCCUGGUGGAGCGGUGGAAUGCGCAGAUAUCAGGAGGAACACCAGUGGCGAAGGCGGUUCUCUGGGCCUUUCCUGACGCUGAGGAGCGAAAGCGUGGGGAGCGAACAGGCUUAGAUACCCUGGUAGUCCACGCUGUAAACGGUGGGUACUAGGUGUGGGGUCCAUUCCACGGGUUCCGUGCCGUAGCUAACGCUUUAAGUACCCCGCCUGGGGAGUACGGCCGCAAGGCUAAAACUCAAAGGAAUUGACGGGGCCCCGCACAAGCGGCGGAGCAUGCGGAUUAAUUCGAUGCAACGCGUAGAACCUUACCUGGGUUUGACAUGGAUCGGGAGUGCUCAGAGAUGGGUGUGCCUCUUUUGGGGUCGGUUCACAGGUGGUGCAUGGCUGUCGUCAGCUCGUGUCGUGAGAUGUUGGGUUAAGUCCCGCAACGAGCGCAACCCUUGUUCACUGUUGCCAGCACGUUAUGGUGGGGACUCAGUGGAGACCGCCGGGGUCAACUCGGAGGAAGGUGGGGAUGACGUCAAGUCAUCAUGCCCCUUAUGUCCAGGGCUUCACGCAUGCUACAAUGGCUGGUACAGAGAGUGGCGAGCCUGUGAGGGUGAGCGAAUCUCGGAAAGCCGGUCUCAGUUCGGAUUGGGGUCUGCAACUCGACCUCAUGAAGUCGGAGUCGCUAGUAAUCGCAGAUCAGCAACGCUGCGGUGAAUACGUCCCCGGG